This 960-nucleotide long non-coding RNA is filed under the name Phascolarctos cinereus (koala). RNAcentral describes it as "lncRNA (ENSPCIG00000000616.2)". The record is from RNAcentral. Lineage: Eukaryota; Metazoa; Chordata; Mammalia; Diprotodontia; Phascolarctidae.
UGCACCAUAUGAUCCUAUACCGCCUUGCUAUUUUCAACAAAACAAAAUGUUUUAUCAUUGGACUGAUAAUUAGAAGGGAUUUUAGAGAGCAUCUCCUUUCUUUCUGCAAAGGAGACGUUAGUCUUGAGCAAAGGUCACACAACUAAGAAGUAUCAAAACUGGAUUUCCAAUCUACGUUCUCUGACUCCGAAUCCAUGAUCUACUUAACCUCGUUCACCUCCUCUCGCACCCCAAAGCUGCAGCACCUCUUAUCCCCCCGUAUUCCUAAGGAACCAACGCGGCAACUAACACCGUCAGCAGCCUCCGCGUCCAUCAAUUCCUGCCAGGAGCCGUAGUCCCUCGAAGACGCGGGGUAUGCUGGGAUUUGUAGUUCUCCAUCCUCGGCCACCACCACCACCCCCUCCCCCGACUGAGAAAGGUUGCCCAGGGCCCCCACUCACCUCAGCCGCCACUUCGCUUGCCAUGGUCUUCGAUGCACGAGAGCUUCCCCCUGGAAGAACCAGAAGCGCCGCCGCCGCUGCUAGCGCCGUUCCCUCAGACUCCGGGCCAGACGCCGGCCCCUACUUCCUCAGCCCCAGCAGCCUCAGCUCCCGCCACUGCCGUUCGAGCUUUCGCGCUCAGUCGGGGCUGAGGCCCCACCUCUACCGUUUCCGACCAAUCCCCGCAGCACUCUUGCUGACGUCACGGAGAUCCCACCUCCCACUUGGCUGCGCCGAGGGCUUGCUCGGGUUUAGCGGGAGGUGCUUGGCGCGCGCUUGUCUCCCCGCCCUUUGCAGGGUUAAUAUGAAACAUAGAAGCUGCCUCUACUCCUCCAAGACUGUGAAUUUGAAGUGUGGAAGCUGCAGACAACCUCAGUGAUUCAGGAAGAGGAACUGUUUUUAUGAGAAGGGUAAAGUAUGAUUCUUUGCUCAGAAACCUGGCAAAGCUAAGCAAUAAAGUUUUGGGGUUUUUUUGCUUUCA